CGCCCCCUUUACCUGCGGCUCCGGCUCCUCGGCCAUUUCCUCGCUCGGCGGCGGCCGGGACUGAACUGACACCACACGAGCGAGCCGAGACCGUUAACUCCAUCAAGAGCACGGAUUUGUCCAAACUCACGCUCGGCCACGCCUUCCACAUUUCUCCACCUUGGGACAGGUCGAGUGGACUAGAGCACUGAUAUUUCGAAAAACUUCUCUGCCAACAGCAAGGCCGGUGUGGCCCCGGGAGGCUAGCUGAUAAGCGCUGCCAUUUACUGCAUUCUCGAUGUGUGCUUUUUACUCCAUAACUCAUUCAAUCCUCCUAAGGACCCUUUGAGGGAGGGCGUGUAUUUUCCCAUUUUUGUAGAUGGAAGAACCUGGGCACAGAGGGAUCACAGGACUCUGCCAAGCCCGCUGGUAAUAAGCAGCAAAGUUAGAGUAAAUCUAGCACCUGCCUCCAGGGCCUUCGUCCUUACCCACAGGUAUGAUGGCCUCCCCCGCCGGGUCUCCAACCUCAGCUCCCAACUCCCCCUUUCCCCCUCCCACUGGCCAAGCCUCACCCCCACACCUCAUGGUGUAUCCCCAGGACCUUGAACCAUGCCAAGCGCACAGGGAUGUUCACUAUACACCGGGCGAAAAAUGAGGAAAUGGCCACACGUGCCAGGCAGCGGAUAUCCACUAUCUCUUACAUUCUCCUAGAAACAUAACCAAAUGACUAUUUUUAGUCUUGCUUUACACGCAAGAGGUUAAGUAUGCCUUCAACCCACAGAAUGCACACCUACUGUUAUGUGCCUGGCGUUGUUUCCCACAUGCUGGGGACACAACCGUAAGGUACGUGAACUCUUGUGUUUACAGUGCCCCCAUUCCAGCAGAAAUGCAGACAAGCACAUGUCUGUCACACUGAUCUUUUCAAAAGUCAGAUCUGAUUACGUCAGGGCCCUGCCUAAAACUCUCAAGCUCUCUCAGGACCAAAACAGAAUUGCGGACGAUGUGGCUGGCAGGAACUGGCAGACCCUGCGAAGGCUUCGGAUUUUACUCCAAGGGCACGGGAAGCCACUGAAAGAAAAGGGAAGUAAAAUCGAGAAAGAACUACUGAACUUCACGAUUAUCUCCUCAAAGAUCUCAUCCUGGCCAAACAAAGAGGACAUGGAAGACUUGACGACGCUGUGGUCCUUCAACUUCACGCAGACAGACACCUUCCUCUUCAGUGUCCAGGCUAUGACCAUGAGAAUCAAAGCUGUCACUGAUGAGAACGUUUGGCGCUGGGCUAGCUGUCAUCCUAGCAAGCUUCACCCCUUUAGUUGUUACUGCCUUUUCUUUAAAAAGAACAAACUGAGACUCAGGAUGGUUAAGUAGCCCGCCUGACGUCACGGGGCUAACAGUUUGUGUCCCUACCCUCCCUCCAGACUACACCGAGGCCAACGGGCCAUUUGAACCUGAGGUCAAACCUCAGCUCUGCCACCAACCUAAAUUUCCUCACUUCUAAAAAUCUACACUGAUGUACAUUUCUAGACACUCUAUUUCCUGAAUGUUCACCAGUCGACCGUGUGCAGCUCUGGGGCAAGGGUAAAACAUCCUCCCCCUAACCCUCCUCCCCUCCCCCCAUUUCUGGACCAGCAAGAGUUUACUUGGUCGCCCCCGGGCUAGUCCCCUCCCUCCUCCCUCCUCGGUCACUCCCUUGCAUUCUUGGUGUACCUGUGUACUUAUCGGUCUUCCCCAAUACACGGCAACUCUCCUUUGAAAGCAAGGAAGAAAGGUCAUGCAAAUUCACGUCCCAACAGCAAUUAGCAGAGUGCUUUUUGCAUAGAGCUGGGAGGCAACAAAUGUUUAUAAAAUGGAGGUGUCCUGGACUAGGUCUCACAGGCCUUUACAUGGCCCCAGGAGCUAAUCAGUUAGUAGAUCUACAGACCCUACUAUCAUCCCACGAGCUCACACACACACCCUUUCCUUUCCGUUCCGUUCCCACUGUCCUUGUUUCUUGUUUUCUUCUGAUCUGUAUAAUAAUCUCAUAACCAGUUCUCUUGAAUCUGUCUUCUUCCUAGCCCAGAACAGCUUUUUCCAAACCCCACUAAUAACCAUCCUACAACUGCCCUGUGCAAAAAAAUCUCAAAUUUUACCAAAAUAAGUCAAAAUAAGUUUCCUCUCUUAGGAUGUAAAACCACACCGUGGCCCCAGCCAACCUUUUAACCAGAUGCAUUCCAGAAAUAUAUACUGACAACUCCUUUGUCCCAGCCGCUUGGCUAAAUAGUGAUUAAAGAGAGAGGUACAAAACAAAUUGUAUUUCUGCCCUCGUGGAGCUUAUAUCUUAAUAGGAGAACUAUAGACAUUAAACAUAUUUUUUUAAAAAAUAAAUAGAUAAGCAUAUAAUUAUAGUACCUGCCCUAGAGUAAUAAUCAGUCAAGGUACACAAGAAGCACACACAAGGGUAUUCACUGCAGCACUGUUUAUGAUAGCGAAGAAUUAGAAAUAACCUGCAUGUCCAUCAAAAGGAAAAUGGCCACAUAAACUAUGGUAUAUCUAAAUUUAAGAAUACAGACAGCGGUCAGAAAGAACGAUAAGUGGCUAAAUCACCAGGACAUUGUGGAGGAAAAAAUAAAAGAAUCAAGCUAUGCCGUUUUUUUUAAAGCACACACACUAUAUUUUCUAAAGGAAAUAUAUGAACAUGUAUAAUAUAUAACUAUGUGUCUGUAUAUAUGUAUACACAUAAUACAUACCUAUGUUUAUAUAUACACACAUAAGAAACAUGGAUGCCGAUCAUUUCACUGUACAAAUAUUGAAUAAUUACACUGUGCGCCUGAAACUAAUGUUCUAUGUUAAUUAUCUCUAAAUAAAUAAAUGAGAAAUAAAUACAUAUGCAAAUACCUUAAAGUUGGGAAGACCCCAUACCAAAAGUGGUUAAUUCUUACAUGUGGGCAAAGAUCCAGGUCAAUAUUUAGUGGUGGCUAAAGGUUUUGAUCUUUUUACAUGUAAAACAUUGAUAUUUCACCUGUAUAAUUAAAACUUAGCUUCCCAUUAACACAAUUCCAUACUGUGCUCAUGCUGUGUUCAAAAAUGAAAAAUAAAAUGUUUAGGGUUUCCA
This is a long non-coding RNA of Pteropus alecto (black flying fox), 3070 nucleotides long. RefSeq lists it as uncharacterized. NCBI's taxonomy places the organism in Eukaryota, Metazoa, Chordata, Mammalia, Chiroptera, Pteropodidae. The record is from RefSeq and is a predicted model, not a curated record. The transcript has 2 exons.